Globicephala melas (long-finned pilot whale) is the source of this 338-nucleotide non-coding RNA. NCBI's taxonomy places the organism in Eukaryota, Metazoa, Chordata, Mammalia, Artiodactyla, Delphinidae. The record is from RefSeq and is a predicted model, not a curated record.
CUGUCUCUGCAGUGGGGACUUGUUUCCAUGGGGAGAGAUGCUCAGAGGGUGAAGUCCGGCAGUGCCAGUGUUCCGAGGGUUUUCAGGGACCCCGCUGUCAAUACGUGUUCCAGAGACUAUCCUAAUGUGCUGGAAGACGGUUCUGAACAUGGCAGAAAAGGUGCCUGAGCUUCUCAGUAAGCUUACAGUCUCAACAAGGGAAAAAGACAAUAAACUUGUCUUCUUUUCUACCUUCUCACCCCUGGGUGUCUGUCCUGUUGCCUUUCCAGCUAGCAUCUGGCUCAUUUCUUUUCUGAAGACUGGACAGAGCUUUUGAACAAGGUGUGUCUGGUGGUGAG